GCAUAUCAAAAAAGCGGAGGAAAAGAAACUAACAAGGAUUCCCCUAGUAACUGCGAGUGAAGCGGGAAAAGCUCAAAUUUAAAAUCUGGUGGUCUUUGGCCAUCCGAGUUGUAAUCUAGAGAAGUGUUAUCCGCGCUGGACCGUGUACAAGUCCCCUGGAAUGGGGCGUCAUAGAGGGUGAGAAUCCCGUCUUUGACACGGACUACCAGGGCUUUGUGAUGCACUCUCAAAGAGUCGAGUUGUUUGGGAAUGCAGCUCAAAAUGGGUGGUAAAUUCCAUCUAAAGCUAAAUAUUGGCGAGAGACCGAUAGCGAACAAGUACCGUGAGGGAAAGAUGAAAAGAACUUUGGAAAGAGAGUUAAACAGUACGUGAAAUUGUUGAAAGGGAAACGCUUGAAGUCAGUCGCGUCUGCCAGGGAUCAACCUUACUUUUGUGAGGCGUACUUCCUGGUUGAUGGGUCAGCAUCAGUUUUGGUCGCUGGAUAAAGGUCAGAGAAAUGUGGCACCUUCGGGUGUGUUAUAGUCUUUGAUCAGAUACAGUGGCUGGGACUGAGGAACUCAGCGCCGCAAGGCUGUCUUAGGAUGCUGGCAAAAUGGCUUUAAUCGACCCGUCUUGAAACACGGACAAAAGGAGUCA
Molecule: ribosomal RNA, 636 nt
Filed under: Pleurotus opuntiae
Lineage: Eukaryota; Fungi; Basidiomycota; Agaricomycetes; Agaricales; Pleurotaceae
Description: LSU rRNA
Rfam family: Eukaryotic large subunit ribosomal RNA
Source: RNAcentral